CCAGUCGCCUUCGUGCAG
This 18-nucleotide non-coding RNA is filed under the name Arabidopsis thaliana (thale cress). The record is from RNAcentral. Lineage: Eukaryota; Viridiplantae; Streptophyta; Magnoliopsida; Brassicales; Brassicaceae.